This 497-nucleotide ribosomal RNA is filed under the name uncultured bacterium. RNAcentral describes it as "partial 16S ribosomal RNA". It matches the Rfam family "Bacterial small subunit ribosomal RNA", at positions 28 to 507 of the family's 1533-position model. The record is from RNAcentral.
GAUGAACGCUGGCGGCGUGCCUAAUACAUGCAAGUCGAGCGAACAGACGAGGAGCUUGCUCCUCUGACGUUAGCGGCGGACGGGUGAGUAACACGUGGAUGACCUACCUAUAAGACUGGGAUAACUUCGGGAAACCGGAGCUAAUACCGGAUAAUAUAUUGAACCGCAUGGUUCAAUAGUGAAAGACGGUUUUGCUGUCACUUAUAGAUGGAUCCGCGCCGCAUUAGCUAGUUGGUAAGGUAACGGCUUACCAAGGCAACGAUGCGUAGCCGACCUGAGAGGGUGAUCGGCCACACUGGAACUGAGACCAGGUCCAGACUCCUACGGGAGGCAGCAGUAGGGAAUCUUCCGCAAUGGGCGAAAGCCUGACGGAGCAACGCCGCGUGAGUGAUGAAGGUCUUCGGAUCGUAAAACUCUGUUAUUAGGGAAGAACAAAUGUGUAAGUAACUAUGCACGUCUUGACGGUACCUAAUCAGAAAGCCACGGCUAACUACGUG